CCUAUCCAAACCCAAUCGGUUCUGGUCAAUCCCUCAAAAUCCAGUUCCACGUCCGGUCCGAGGUGGAGCAAGGUUGAUGGCGAGGCGAUUAACAGGAAGGCGACGGACGAGGGGCGCAGACCUGGGUGGAGCGUCCGAGGUGGACGGGGACGGCGCGCGCGAGGACGACGUCGCCGAGGGCGGCGCUGCGGAAGUGGUUGAUGGCGAGGUGCACGCCGGCGACGCGGCUGUACCCGGACGCCAUGUGCGCGCCCAUGCUGGCCAGGCCCUCCGACACCAGCGCCGAC
Molecule: long non-coding RNA, 287 nt
Filed under: Hordeum vulgare
Lineage: Eukaryota; Viridiplantae; Streptophyta; Magnoliopsida; Poales; Poaceae
Description: long non-coding RNA (HVUL_LNC006361)
Source: RNAcentral